GACGAACGCUGGCGGCGUGCCUAAUACAUGCAAGUCGAGCGAGUCUGCCUUGAAGAUCGGAGUGCUUGCACUCUGUGAAACAAGAUACAGGCUAGCGGCGGACGGGUGAGUAACACGUGGGUAACCUGCCCAAGAGAUCGGGAUAACACCUGGAAACAGAUGCUAAUACCGGAUAACAACAGAUGAUGCCUUUCAACUGUUUAAAAGAUGGUUCUGCUAUCACUCUUGGAUGGACCUGCGUUGCAUUAGCUAGUUGGUAGGGUAACGGCCUACCAAGGCGAUGAUGCAUAGCCGAGUUGAGAGACUGAUCGGCCACAUUGGGACUGAGACACGGCCCAAACGCCUACGGGAGGCAGCAGUAGGGAAUCUUCCACAAUGGACGCAAGUCUGAUGGAGCAACGCCGCGUGAGUGAAGAAGGGUUUCGGCUCGUAAAGCUCUGUUGUUGGUGAAGAAGGACAGGGGUAGUAACUGACCUUUGUUUGACGGUAAUCAAUUAGAAAGUCACGGCUAACUACGUG
This 519-nucleotide ribosomal RNA is filed under the name uncultured bacterium. RNAcentral's name for it is "partial 16S ribosomal RNA". It matches the Rfam family "Bacterial small subunit ribosomal RNA", at positions 28 to 507 of the family's 1533-position model. The record is from RNAcentral.